GACGGAGGGUGCUAGCGUUGUUCGGAUUUACUGGGCGUAAAGGGCGCGUAGGCGGCCCUGUAAGUCGGAUGUGAAAGCCCGGGGCUCAACCCCGGAACUGCAUUCGAGACUGCAGGGCUGGAGAUCGGAAGAGGAGAGUGGAAUACCCAGUGUAGAGGUGAAAUUCGUAGAUAUUGGGUGGAACACCGGUGGCGAAAGCG
This 200-nucleotide ribosomal RNA is filed under the name uncultured bacterium. Its description in RNAcentral is "partial 16S ribosomal RNA". It matches the Rfam family "Bacterial small subunit ribosomal RNA", at positions 524 to 723 of the family's 1533-position model. The record is from RNAcentral.